UAAAAAAUAGUUUAAUUAGAAAAACCAAGAAAUUUGAAUUCUUAAAUACAAGUGCAAUUCUUGUUUUUUUAA
RNAcentral lists this transfer RNA (72 nucleotides) under Leptasterias hexactis. Its description in RNAcentral is "tRNA-Gln". It matches the Rfam family "tRNA". Rfam says of the family: Transfer RNA (tRNA) molecules are approximately 80 nucleotides in length. Their secondary structure includes four short double-helical elements and three loops (D, anti-codon, and T loops). The record is from RNAcentral. Lineage: Eukaryota; Metazoa; Echinodermata; Asteroidea; Forcipulatida; Asteriidae.